Molecule: non-coding RNA, 624 nt
Organism: Triticum urartu
Lineage: Eukaryota; Viridiplantae; Streptophyta; Magnoliopsida; Poales; Poaceae
Source: RefSeq, a predicted model, not a curated record
AGUUCAACAACCUUUUUCACCAAGCUUAUACCUGAAUGGGUUGAUGCAUGUAGAUAUGAUAUGUAAUUUUAGUAAGACGGGAACAUGACGAUUGAUGUUUCAAGUGAUGAUAAUGCAUAGGGACUGGAGAUGUGGUUUGAGGCGGCAGUUAACCGUGCAAUUUUCAUGAAGAAUGAUUGCGUACAUUUUUACUCAAUACUCGUUUCUUGUGAUGCAUUAGGUUUUAAUUUUCUUGCUGCUAUGUGUGUGGAUCAAUCCUUACUCUUUUUUCAUGCCGCUUGUGGUCUGAGUCCUUAUCUCUGCUUGGGGUGACGCUGCAAGAUCAGACGGAAACCAGACUUCUUAUGGUUCUGAGAAUUUUACAUGGAUCAGGAAAUUCUAAUGUUUGACUUUGUAGUACCCAGAUUACCAAGAUAAAUUGAGGAUGCAUGACUUAGAUUUUGAUUGCAAGGCCAAGAAGAUUUUGAUUCCAAGGCAAAUAGUUUGGCUACAAGUCAAUUAGAAUGUAACUUUUAGUAUCAAUGUUUCAAACAUUAUAGUUGAUGGCAAGGUCAAGAAUUGGCCUACUACUAGAUAGUUUCACCUCUUGUAAUCUUUGGACCAUGUUCUUUGUAAUGCCACAUA